This 1386-nucleotide ribosomal RNA is filed under the name Tetrahymena americanis. Its description in RNAcentral is "SSU rRNA". It matches the Rfam family "Eukaryotic small subunit ribosomal RNA", at positions 193 to 1636 of the family's 1831-position model. Lineage: Eukaryota; Ciliophora; Oligohymenophorea; Hymenostomatida; Tetrahymenidae. The record is from RNAcentral.
CGACCGGAACGUAUUUAUUAGAUAUUAGACCAAUCGCAGCAAUGUGAUUGAGAUGAAUCAAAGUAACUGAUCGAAUCGUAGCUUGCUACGAUAAAUCAUCUAAGUUUCUGCCCUAUCAGCUCUCGAUGGUAGUGUAUUGGACUACCAUGGCAGUCACGGGUAACGGAGAAUUAGGGUUCGAUUCCGGAGAAGGAGCCUGAGAAACGGCUACUACAACUACGGUUCGGCAGCAGGGAAGAAAAUUGGCCAAUCCUAAUUCAGGGAGCCAGUGACAAGAAAUAGCAAGCUGGAGAACUAAGUUCUUACGGCAUUGAAAUGAGAAAAGUGUUAAUCUCUUAGCGAGGAACAAUUGGAGGGCAAGUCAUGGUGCCAGCAGCCGCGGUAAUUCCAGCUCCAAUAGCGUAUAUUAAAGUUGUUGCAGUUAAAAAGCUCGUAGUUGAACUUCUGUUCAGGUUCAUUUCGACUCGUCGAGUGAAACUGGGCAUACGUCUGCAAACUAAAAUCGGCCUUCACUGGUUCGACUUAGGGAGUAGGCAUUUUACUGUGAAAAAAUUAGAGUGUUUCAGGCAGGUUUUAGCCCGAAUACAUUAGCAUGGAAUAAUGGAAUAGGACUAAGUCCAUUUUAUUGGUUCUUGGAUUUGGUAAUGAUUAAUAGGGACAGUUGGGGGCAUUAGUAUUUAAUAGUCAGAGGUGAAAUUCUUGGAUUUAUUAAGGACUAACUAAUGCGAAAGCAUUUGCCAAAGAUGUUUUCAUUAAUCAAGAACGAAAGUUAGGGGAUCAAAGACGAUCAGAUACCGUCGUAGUCUUAACUAUAAACUAUACCGACUCGGGAUCGGCUGGAAUAUAUGUCCAGUCGGCACCGUAUGAGAAAUCAAAGUCUUUGGGUUCUGGGGGAAGUAUGGUACGCAAGUCUGAAACUUAAAGGAAUUGACGGAACAGCACACCAGAAGUGGAACCUGCGGCUUAAUUUGACUCAACACGGGGAAACUCACGAGCGCAAGACAGAGAAGGGAUUGACAGAUUGAGAGCUCUUUCUUGAUUCUUUGGGUGGUGGUGCAUGGCCGUUCUUAGUUGGUGGAGUGAUUUGUCUGGUUAAUUCCGUUAACGAACGAGACCUUAACCUGCUAACUAGUCUACCUGUGAACAACAGGUUGUACUUCUUAGAGGGACUAUUGUGCAAGAAGCCAAUGGAAGUUUAAGGCAAUAACAGGUCUGUGAUGCCCCUAGACGUGCUCGGCCGCACGCGCGUUACAAUGACUGGCGCAGAAAGUAUUUCCUGUCCUGGGAAGGUACGGGUAAUCUUAUUAAUACCAGUCGUGUUAGGGAUAGUUCUUUGGAAUUUUGGAUCUUGAACGAGGAAUUUCUAGUAAGUGCAAGUCAUCAGCU